This 305-nucleotide ribosomal RNA is filed under the name uncultured bacterium. Its description in RNAcentral is "bacterial SSU rRNA". It matches the Rfam family "Bacterial small subunit ribosomal RNA", at positions 337 to 634 of the family's 1533-position model. The record is from RNAcentral.
GCCUACGGGGGGCAGCAGUAGGGAAUCUUCCACAAUGGGCGAAAGCCUGAUGGAGCAACGCCGCGUGGGUGAAGAAGGUCUUCGGAUCGUAAAACCCUGUUGUUAGAGAAGAAAGUGCGUGAGAGUAACUGUUCACGUUUCGACGGUAUCUAACCAGAAAGCCACGGCUAACUACGUGCCAGCAGCCGCGGUAAUACGUAGGUAGCAAGCGUUAUCCGGAUUUAUUGGGCGUAAAGGGAACGCAGGCGGUCUUUUAAGUCUGAUGUGAAAGCCUUCGGCUUAACCGGAGUAGUGCAUUGGAAACU